Molecule: long non-coding RNA, 678 nt
Organism: Leopardus geoffroyi (Geoffroy's cat)
Lineage: Eukaryota; Metazoa; Chordata; Mammalia; Carnivora; Felidae
Exons: 2
Source: RefSeq, a predicted model, not a curated record
CACAUCUGGGGGCUGGAAGUCCAGGAGCAGGGUGCCAGCGCAGUUGGACUCUGAACGCAGUGGAAGUGAUGCUUUUGGACUUCAGAGAUUAUUAGUUCAUGAGAGGACUUUCAGAUGAGUUUUUUAGAAUGCUCAUUCUUUGGUGUCUCCUCUUGGAAGCCAGUCUUCAUGCUGUGAGAAGCCAUGCCUCCUGGAGAGGCUAUAAGAUGAUACACCGCCUGUCAACAUCUCCACGGAACUCCCAACUGACCAGCAGCAUCAAUCACCAGUCAUGUGAAUGUGCCAUCUUGGAUGUUCCGGCCCAGUAGAAGCCUCAGAAUACUGCAGCUGAUAUCAUGUAGAGCAGAGAACUGCGUGGUUCACCACAAUUUUGUCAGAAAUAAUGAGUCAUUGUCUUGAGCUGCUAAGCUUUGGCAUGAUUUAUUACACAUUAAUAGAGUACUAGUAUAGCUGGGGUAUUUUACAUUUCUGGUGCUGUUGUUAAUGGAAAUACUUUUCUGCAUAUUUUAUAACUGGUAUCACUGGAAUAUAGGAAAACUGUUGCUAUCUGGCAAACUCAAGUUAUCUGACUGUAUUUAAUCAUUUUAAGGUCAUCGUCUUGGAUUUUCUAGUUACAUAAUCACAUAUCUGAAAGCAUAAUUUUGUUUCCUUUCCAACAUUAAAUCUCAUUGUGUUUGA